AAAGCUUCGCAGGCAGGCAGUGUCACGCAGAGGUGGCCAGGAGGGGUUCCACACUAUGGGCGCAAACAGCGGAGCUGUCGGAUGGCUGUGUGUGAAGUCGGGGUUUGCAUGCACAAACUUCUUUUUGUAAGCCUGCCUCCUGAAGGUAGAGUGCCUUGAGCUCUCUCAUUCCUCUAUAGCAUUGCUCAGAGCCUUGGGGUUCACCUUCCCUUGGGCCACAUGCUAUCCCCGUGGCCGUCACUCCAACGCUGGCUCUAGAUGUGGAAUGCAGCCUGGCUGUCCGGAGCAGGCAGCUAAUUACAGCUUUAAUUUUAUUGUGUUUAGCAGGAGACAGAGCUCCAGCCUCUGCUAACUACAGAUCUGAAGACAGGCAUGAGAGCAGAUAAGAGGCGUUGACAGAGCGCAUGGGCCUGUGGCACGCUGCCCGUCAGAAAAGGCUGUGUUGGAAUGGUGCUCCCAUCAAGUCCCAGCUUUCCUUGUUGUGCGCCUUAGCACAACGUGAAGAGCCUGCAUAUAGCAAAGGAAGCUGCAAGCUCUCUUUCCAGUUUGAGCAAGGCAACAGAGAAAGAACUCUCCAGGUAGGUGUGAAGUGUAAAACAGACUGAUGCUGAAGAGAGAUUCACUCCAGCUUCCCUUUCAUCUGAAGCUGAUGGGGAGCUGAGGAACUCUGGUCUCACAGGGAUUCUGCCUUGGCUGUUUCAGUGCUGUGCAGGAGGCAUACUGUGGGUUAGCUGAGGCUUACACCGUAGCCCGGUACGUCAGCCACAAGACCUCCUUCCUCAGCAGAAAGAUGUGAUGAAUCUCUUGUUGAUUAAAUAGAAUGCUCAAUUUACUUUUUCCUUUUUCCUCUUAAAAGCAAAACAAAACAAAGAACUCCCUGAACAUUUUGGUUUUUCUCAUCCUCUCAGAGUGUUAGUCAUCAUUUAAAAUACACACAAUGAUUAAAAUGAGUCUGAUCAUGUUCAGGUACAAUAUUUCAGGGAGGCUACUUGGUAUGACUUGCAUGAGGACAUGAAAUGCCAGAAGGACCAGUGCAAUCAGCAGCAAACUUCUCUGCCAAACAGAGUGGGUGGGGCCAUGUGC
RNAcentral lists this long non-coding RNA (1083 nucleotides) under Phasianus colchicus (ring-necked pheasant). Its description in RNAcentral is "lncRNA (ENSPCLG00000001910.1)". Lineage: Eukaryota; Metazoa; Chordata; Aves; Galliformes; Phasianidae. The record is from RNAcentral.